RNAcentral lists this ribosomal RNA (460 nucleotides) under uncultured bacterium. Its description in RNAcentral is "partial 16S ribosomal RNA". It matches the Rfam family "Bacterial small subunit ribosomal RNA", at positions 338 to 795 of the family's 1533-position model. The record is from RNAcentral.
CCUACGGGAGGCAGCAGUGAGGAAUAUUGGUCAAUGGGCGAGAGCCUGAACCAGCCAAGUCGCGUGAAGGAUGAAGGCUCUAUGGUUUGUAAACUUCUUUUAUAUGGGCAUAAAGUGAGUAACGUGUUCCUUUUUGUAUGUACCAUAUUAAUAAGCAUCGGCUAACUCCGUGCCCGCAGCCGCGGUAAUACGGAGGAUGUGAGCGUUAUCCGGAUUUAUUGGGUUUAAAGGGUGCGUAGGUGGUUAUUUAAGUCAGCGGUGAAAGUUUGUGGCUUAACCAUAAAAUUGCCGUUGAAACUGGUUGACUUGAGUACAUUAGAGGUAGGCGGAAUGCGUGGUGUAGCGGUGAAAUGCAUAGAUAUCACGAAGAACUCCGAUUGCGAAGGCAGCUUACUAAAACAUAACUGACACUGAAGCACGAAAGCGUGGGGAUCAAACAGGAUUAGAUACCCGAGUAGUC